This 505-nucleotide ribosomal RNA is filed under the name Yersinia enterocolitica. RNAcentral's name for it is "bacterial SSU rRNA". It matches the Rfam family "Bacterial small subunit ribosomal RNA", at positions 1029 to 1533 of the family's 1533-position model. Lineage: Bacteria; Pseudomonadati; Pseudomonadota; Gammaproteobacteria; Enterobacterales; Yersiniaceae. The record is from RNAcentral.
GUGAGACAGGUGCUGCAUGGCUGUCGUCAGCUCGUGUUGUGAAAUGUUGGGUUAAGUCCCGCAACGAGCGCAACCCUUAUCCUUUGUUGCCAGCACGUCAUGGUGGGAACUCAAAGGAGACUGCCGGUGAUAAACCGGAGGAAGGUGGGGAUGACGUCAAGUCAUCAUGGCCCUUACGAGUAGGGCUACACACGUGCUACAAUGGCAGAUACAAAGUGAAGCGAACUCGCGAGAGCAAGCGGACCACAUAAAGUCUGUCGUAGUCCGGAUUGGAGUCUGCAACUCGACUCCAUGAAGUCGGAAUCGCUAGUAAUCGUAGAUCAGAAUGCUACGGUGAAUACGUUCCCGGGCCUUGUACACACCGCCCGUCACACCAUGGGAGUGGGUUGCAAAAGAAGUAGGUAGCUUAACCUUCGGGAGGGCGCUUACCACUUUGUGAUUCAUGACUGGGGUGAAGUCGUAACAAGGUAACCGUAGGGGAACCUGCGGUUGGAUCACCUCCUUA